This 118-nucleotide Y RNA is filed under the name Loktanella sp. S4079. RNAcentral's name for it is "Y RNA-like". It matches the Rfam family "Y RNA-like". From Rfam's summary of the family: In Deinococcus radiodurans Rsr is tethered via Y RNA to the exoribonuclease PNPase and channels single-stranded RNA into the PNPase cavity. The record is from Rfam by way of RNAcentral. Lineage: Bacteria; Pseudomonadati; Pseudomonadota; Alphaproteobacteria; Rhodobacterales; Roseobacteraceae.
CUGGCAAAUGCUAGUGGAACUACAAUUGGUCGCGGGUUCGAACCCCGCCGCUGAUUUUGUUGGUGUAGCUCAGUUGGUAGAGCAGUUCUUUGUUUCACGCCUUGUUUGUUGCCAGAGU